AUUGAACGCUGGCGGCAGGCUUUACACAUGCAAGUCGAACGGCAGCGGGGGCCUUGCCCUUGGAGCCAGUGGCGGACGGGUGAGUAAUGCCUCGGAACGUGCCUAGUAGUGGGGGAUAGCCCGGCGAAAGGCGGAUUAAUACCGCAUACGACCUGAGGGUGAAAGUGGGGGAUCGACAGGCCUCGCGCUAUUGGAUGAGCCGAGGUCGGAUUAGCUAGUUGGUGGGGUAAAGGCUUACCAAGGCGACGAUCCGUAGCUGGUCUGAGAGGACGAGCAGCCACACUGGGACUGAGACACGGCCCAGACUCCUACGGGAGGCAGCAGUGGGGAAUUUUGGACAAUGGGGGCAACCCUGAUCCAGCCAUGCCGCGUGCGGGAAGAAGGCCUUCGGGUUGUAAACCGCUUUUGUUCGGGAAGAAAUCCUCUGGGCUAAUACCCCGCGGGGAUGACGGUACCAGAAGAAUAAGCACCGGCUAACUACGUG
Molecule: ribosomal RNA, 484 nt
Filed under: uncultured bacterium
Lineage: Bacteria
Description: partial 16S ribosomal RNA
Rfam family: Bacterial small subunit ribosomal RNA
Source: RNAcentral